This 633-nucleotide long non-coding RNA is filed under the name Vigna radiata. RNAcentral describes it as "long non-coding RNA (VRAD_LNC000741)". Lineage: Eukaryota; Viridiplantae; Streptophyta; Magnoliopsida; Fabales; Fabaceae. The record is from RNAcentral.
AUUGAAUUUCGGGAAGAGAGCAUAAGGGAACAAAAAAAAGUGGGAAAAAAAUUCAAUUUCGAGAAGAGAACAUAAGGGAACAGAGAAAAAGGAGAAGGAGAGCUUUCUGAGGUAAGAAACGUUUUUUUAAGAAGAGCAAGAGACGAAAAUAAGCCAACCACACAGGGAAGAGGAAACAUCUGAGGUACGAGGCGAAUAAUAGUGAACGAAGCUCCAAGAGGUAAGAAUUUUCAUGUGUCAGUGAGUUGUUUCCUUGUUUUUGUUUUUUUGGUUUUUAUUUUCUUUUCCACCUAAACUUAUCCUAGAUACCACUAUCAUCUCCUAUUUGUCAAUUUUUUUUCUUUUUACUUUUCCUUUGUGUGCUUUAUUAUUACUUUUAUUAUUUUCGUUUAUUUGUUUUGGUAGUUUUCCUUUAUACGUAUUUAUUUAUAUGAAUUAAAAAAAAAGAGUAAAACCACAAUACUAAAAAAAGUAGUUUUAAAACUUUUUAACACUUAGCGCUAGAUGUAGUUUUAACUUAUUUUCUAAAUUAGACUUUUUUAAAGGAAAUGCGUAUGCAAGUAUUUUUUAUUAUUUCAAGUAUUUAAUGUAAAACCAUUAUGUAGAUGCAAUUAUUUUUUUAUAAUCUUGUUU